UUGGAGGGGGAGAUUUUCUCCACUUUGUGACGACGUUUUGGCCGGCCGGAUGGAAACACAUCGCGGGCCGUAUUUUUGUUAUCACUGGUUUACAUGGUAUGCAACUUUGCGAAACCUUUUUUGGCUGUUGAUUUCAGAAACUAUAAUAAUUCACAUACAUCAGCCCACUAUAUUAAGGAAACGGAAUGUCUCAUGUAUAUCUCACUGUUAUAUCCCACUUUGUUGAAUAAAAGUACAUUGUAUUUGUAGCCCAUCAAAUUUUAGAGUAAAGCAUUUUUUAACGUUUUCAAAUUUGUUAAAAUAAAAAACUUUGGUGAGAGAAAAAUUGAUUAGCGAUGAAAAACAUCCAACAUCAUUGGAAGGCAAAAAGAAGAAUAAUUAAAUAAAAUUGGGAUCAAUGCAUCAUUGUACACAUUUUACAAUCUGAAAAAGAAGUGUGACAAGUUAUAUUGUAAUGAAUAACUUAACUUCAUAACUGCUAUAAGUUGAAGAAGAAUAAAACCCUGCUCAAACCUUUUGUUGGAUGGAGGUAGGGCAAGCAAUAUUUGAACUCAAGCCUACCAAAACCACAGCUCUGACCACAUGAUCAGGCAGCCAUCCAAUCCAGGGUUGCUGUGACUGUUCAAGUAAUCAAAUCCUUCUACUGUUCCCAGACAGUAGCUGUUCUUAGCAGGAUAUAAAGAGUCCAGUUCAUUUUUUUAUGUUUUCCAGCCAGCUUUACUUUGUUCCCUCCACUGUAGCUUGAAGGAUGACUUUUGACAGUGAGUUAUGACUUACAAUAAGACCUAACCAGCUCAGCGAAGCCCACAAGGAGACAAACUCCAUAAUCCAAAACCAUCACAUUCCAUGGAGGAUUUCCCAGUUUACUCAUUACAGCAAAUGCCAAGCUUAAACAGUAUUUUUAUAUAUAUAUGCUCCAUCUCUUCUUUUGCUUGACCAUAGGUAGGCCUAUUUAAUUGAGUCAAGCUAGUAUUUUGCUUUUUUUCUGCACUAAUUUCCAUGCCAACUGUUCUAGCUGCAGCAUACAGUUUUAAAGUAAGAUCUUGUUCCUGGUUAACAAUUUUCACUGAUGAGCUCUAUAUUAUCUGCAAACCUGAGAUUGAAAAUAGCCUGCUCAUUUAUGGUCAAGCUAGGAGUAAAUCUUGCUAGAAUUUCCAUUAUAAUAUGCUCCAGGAAUAUGUUAAGAUGUAAAAUGCUCUAAAUGAAUUGAAAAAUAUAUUUAAAAAAAAAUCUUCAUUUAAUAUAUGCUUAAAACUUACUUUUGA
This is a long non-coding RNA of Biomphalaria glabrata, 1265 nucleotides long. RefSeq lists it as uncharacterized. NCBI's taxonomy places the organism in Eukaryota, Metazoa, Mollusca, Gastropoda, Planorbidae. The transcript is spliced from 4 exons. The record is from RefSeq and is a predicted model, not a curated record.